GGUAAAAGUAGCUCAGUGUUAGAGCACUUGCCUAGCAGGCACAAGACCCUGAGUUCAAUUCCCAGCACCA
RNAcentral lists this transfer RNA (70 nucleotides) under Marmota monax (woodchuck). RNAcentral's name for it is "tRNA.Ala". The stretch from base 8 to 66 matches the Rfam family "tRNA", at positions 7 to 64 of the family's 71-position model. From Rfam's summary of the family: Transfer RNA (tRNA) molecules are approximately 80 nucleotides in length. Lineage: Eukaryota; Metazoa; Chordata; Mammalia; Rodentia; Sciuridae. The record is from RNAcentral.